This 1249-nucleotide ribosomal RNA is filed under the name metagenome. RNAcentral describes it as "bacterial LSU rRNA". It matches the Rfam family "Bacterial large subunit ribosomal RNA", at positions 1564 to 2823 of the family's 2925-position model. The record is from RNAcentral.
UGAGUACGAGAUGCUACGGCAUCGAAGCAGUCUAUGUCAUACUUCCAAGAAAAGCUUGCACUGUCAUAAACAAAGAAUGCCUGUACCAUAACCGACACAGGUGGGUAGGUAGAGUAUACUAAGGGGCGCGAGAUAACUCUCUCUAAGGAACUCGGCAAAAUGACUCCGUAACUUCGGGAGAAGGAGUGCCUUAUUUCUAAGGUUGCAAUAACAAGAUCCAAGCAACUGUUUACCAAAAACACAGGUCUCCGCUAAGUCGUAAGACGAUGUAUGGGGGCUGACGCCUGCCCAGUGCCAGAAGGUUAAAGAAGUUGGUUAGCAUUAGCGAAGCUGAUAACUGAAGCCCUGGUGAACGGCGGCCGUAACUAUAACGGUCCUAAGGUAGCGAAAUUCCUUGUCGGGUAAGUUCCGACCCGCACGAAAGGCGUAAUGAUUUGGAUACUGUCUCGGAGAGGGGCUCGGUGAAAUAGACUUGUCUGUGAAGAUGCGGACUACCUGCACCUGGACAGAAAGACCCUAUGAAGCUUUACUGUAACUUGAGAUUGAAAUUGGACUUUAUUUGCGCAGUAUAGGUGGGAGGCGUUGAGAAUAAUCUUGCGGGAUUGUUGGAGCCAUCAGUGAGAUACCACUCUUGUAAUGUUAGAUUUCUAACUUUGUAUCAUUAUCUGGUCAAAGAACAGUUUCAGGCGGGCAGUUUGACUGGGGCGGUCGCCUCCCAAAGGGUAACGGAGGCGCACAAAGGUUUCCUCUGAACGGGUAGAAAUCGUAUCUAGAGUGUAAAGGCAUAAGGAAGCUUGACUGUGAGACCUACAAGUCGAGCAGGGACGAAAGUCGGUCUUAGUGAUCUGACGGUGCUGAGUGGAAAGGCCGUCACUCAACGGAUAAAAGUUACUCUAGGAUAACAGGCUGAUCUCCCCCAAGAGUUCACAUCGACGGGGAGGUUUGGCACCUCGAUGUCGGCUCAUCGCAUCCUGGGGCGGUAGUCCGUCCCAAGGGUUGGGCUGUUCGCCCAUGAAAGCGGUACGCGAGCUGGGUUCAGAACGUCGUGAGACAGUUCGGUCCAUAUCCGGUGUAGGCGUUAGAAUAUUGAGAGGAGCCUUCUCUAGUACGAGAGGACCGAGAAGGACAUACCUCUGGUGUACCAGUUAUCGUGCCAACGGUAAACGCUGGGUAGCUAUGUAUGGAGUGGAUAACCGCUGAAAGCAUCUAAGUGGGAAGCCCACCUCAAGAUAAGUAUUCUCAUAAAGAA